GAUGAACGCUAUCUACAGGCUUAACACAUGCAAGUCGAGGGGCAGCAUGGUCUUAGCUUGCUAAGGCCGAUGGCGACCGGCGCACGGGUGAGUAACACGUAUCCAACCUGCCGUCUACUCUUGGACAGCCUUCUGAAAGGAAGAUUAAUACAAGAUGGCAUCAUGAGUCCGCAUGUUCACAUGAUUAAAGGUAUUCCGGUAGACGAUGGGGAUGCGUUCCAUUAGAUAGUAGGCGGGGUAACGGCCCACCUAGUCUUCGAUGGAUAGGGGUUCUGAGAGGAAGGUCCCCCACAUUGGAACUGAGACACGGUCCAAACUCCUACGGGAGGCAGCAGUGAGGAAUAUUGGUCAAUGGGCGAGAGCCUGAACCAGCCAAGUAGCGUGAAGGAUGACUGCCCUAUGGGUUGUAAACUUCUUUUAUAAAGGAAUAAAGUCGGGUAUGGAUACCCGUUUGCAUGUACUUUAUGAAUAAGGAUCGGCUAACUCCGUGCCAGCAGCCGCGGUAAUACGGAGGGUCCGAGCGUUAUCCGGAUUUAUUGGGUUUAAAGGGAGCGUAGAUGGAUGUUUAAGUCAGUUGUGAAAGUUUGCGGCUCAACCGUAAAAUUGCAGUUGAUACUGGAUAUCUUGAGUGCAGUUGAGGCAGGCGGAAUUCGUGGUGUAGCGGUGAAAUGCUUAGAUAUCACGAAGAACUCCGAUUGCGAAGGCAGCCUGCUAAGCUGCAACUGACAUUGAGGCUCGAAAGUGUGGGUAUCAAACAGGAUUAGAUACCCUGGUAGUCCACACGGUAAACGAUGAAUACUCGCUGUUUGCGAUAUACGGCAAGCGGCCGAGCGAAAGCGUUAAGUAUUCCACCUGGGGAGUACGCCGGCAACGGUGAAACUCAAAGGAAUUGACGGGGGCCCGCACAAGCGGAGGAACAUGUGGUUUAAUUCGAUGAUACGCGAGGAACCUUACCCGGGCUUAAAUUGCAGAUGAAUUACGGUGAAAGCCGUAAGCCGCAAGGCAUCUGUGAAGGUGCUGCAUGGUUGUCGUCAGCUCGUGCCGUGAGGUGUCGGCUUAAGUGCCAUAACGAGCGCAACCCUUGUUGUCAGUUACUAACAGGUCAUGCUGAGGACUCUGACAAGACUGCCAUCGUAAGAUGUGAGGAAGGUGGGGAUGACGUCAAAUCAGCACGGCCCUUACGUCCGGGGCUACACACGUGUUACAAUGGGGGGUACAGAGGGCCGCUACCACGCGAGUGGAUGCCAAUCCCCAAAACCUCUCUCAGUUCGGACUGGAGUCUGCAACCCGACUCCACGAAGCUGGAUUCGCUAGUAAUCGCGCAUCAGCCACGGCGCGGUGAAUACGUUCCCGGGCCU
RNAcentral lists this ribosomal RNA (1358 nucleotides) under uncultured bacterium. RNAcentral's name for it is "bacterial SSU rRNA". It matches the Rfam family "Bacterial small subunit ribosomal RNA", at positions 28 to 1381 of the family's 1533-position model. The record is from RNAcentral.